AUCAGCCACCGCGUGUGACUGAGA
This 24-nucleotide small nuclear RNA is filed under the name Arabidopsis thaliana (thale cress). RNAcentral's name for it is "snRNA_15038". Lineage: Eukaryota; Viridiplantae; Streptophyta; Magnoliopsida; Brassicales; Brassicaceae. The record is from RNAcentral.